UAGGAUGUAGUGUAAUGGGAGCACAAAGAGUUUUGAGUUCUUUGGAGCAGGUUCGAAUCUUGCUGUCCUAG
This 71-nucleotide transfer RNA is filed under the name Antechinus godmani (Atherton antechinus). RNAcentral describes it as "tRNA-Gln". It matches the Rfam family "tRNA". From Rfam's summary of the family: Transfer RNA (tRNA) molecules are approximately 80 nucleotides in length. Their secondary structure includes four short double-helical elements and three loops (D, anti-codon, and T loops). Lineage: Eukaryota; Metazoa; Chordata; Mammalia; Dasyuromorphia; Dasyuridae. The record is from RNAcentral.